This 339-nucleotide ribosomal RNA is filed under the name uncultured Pseudomonas sp. Its description in RNAcentral is "bacterial SSU rRNA". It matches the Rfam family "Bacterial small subunit ribosomal RNA", at positions 1041 to 1382 of the family's 1533-position model. Lineage: Bacteria; Pseudomonadati; Pseudomonadota; Gammaproteobacteria; Pseudomonadales; Pseudomonadaceae. The record is from RNAcentral.
CUGCAUGGCUGUCGUCAGCUCGUGCGUGAGAUGUUGGGUUAAGUCCGUAACGAGCGCAACCCUGUCCUUAGUUACCAGCACGUUAUGGUGGGCACUCUAAGGAGACUGCCGGUGACAAACCGGAGGAAGGUGGGGAUGACGUCAAGUCAUCAUGGCCCUUACGGCCUGGGCUACACACGUGCUACAAUGGUCGGUACAAAGGGUUGCCAAGCCGCGAGGUGGAGCUAAUCCCAUAAAACCGAUCGUAGUCCGGAUCGCAGUCUGCAACUCGACUGCGUGAAGUCGGAAUCGCUAGUAAUCGUGAAUCAGAAUGUCACGGUGAAUACGUUCCCGGGCCUU